RNAcentral lists this non-coding RNA (1316 nucleotides) under Pongo abelii (Sumatran orangutan). Lineage: Eukaryota; Metazoa; Chordata; Mammalia; Primates; Hominidae. The record is from RNAcentral.
CUUUUUUCUUCGGAGGCUUCAUUUCCUGAAAGAGACAGUGUCCGUGAUGAGCUGAUUUCACUAAUUCACUCAUUGCAUUUUUUAAAAACCUCAGCGGUCCAGAUCUGGCUUCUUUUGAAGGUGACAACACUAGGCCUAUGCCUCAUCCCCAGCAGGUGACCAAUGGAGGAAAAUAAAACAGAACUUCAACAUGCUCUCUGACGAACUUGAACCCCUGGUACUGGUUGCUCUGAGAAGCCACGGGUUUCCUUCCUUGGACAAUUUCAGAGCCCGUCAUUAUGGUUUAUGGAAAGGAAGUGGCACUGAGAGAGACCCUUGCUUCUCCUGGCAGCUCUUCUCCCUUGAGAAAGCUCCUCAGCUUCUCCUGAGCUUGGUUUCAGAAGUGAUGGUUCAUCCUCUCCCAUUGGGAGUCCUUCUGGGAUGGGCUCCAUAUAUUCCUCCAGCCGCAGGGGGAUGGGCGAGAUGACCUUUUCAGGUCACUCAGGAGAUCCUCCAGUUUCUCAGGAUGAUCUAAGCAUCUCCCUUUCCUUUAGAAGCUGUCAGAGCUAACUCAGCGUGGGUGUGGGCUCUUCGCAGCUACACCACCUCCCCUCCAAUAUUUAAAAGCUCUUUGCUGGUUCUUAGGUUCUCCUAAUCACAGGUCUUUUUUUCUGGGCUCUGCCUGAAAGGCCACAUCUGUUUUCUCCCUGAAAGCUAGCUAGGUCCUCUGGGCUAAACACCACCGCCCCUCAGCUCUAAAAAUGGCUGAUUUUCAUUACGCCCUUUGCCAACCAGAUUAUUUCUUAAAUUGCUCUCCCCCCUGCUGGGUGUUCUGGGACACAGACGCCAGUGUGUGGGGUCCCCGGCUUUCCUUUCUCCCUGAGCAGCUGGAGGAGAGCCUCAGUUUCUCCACCGCACACCCUGGCCUGAGGGCAGCAGCCGACCCAGCCGGGGGAGUGGGCCUCGUGCGCCCUCGGAGGCCCAGGACCGCGGGGCCCCACCGAGGACCCCCUGAACCGCAGCCCGCCGCGAGGCAGGGGACCAAACUGCCGCGCCCCAGAGCCCGCCGCCGCCUGUCCCCGCGUCUGAGGUCCACAAGGAAGAGCUGCGGGAAUGCACGCCCGGGGAAGAGGCUUUGAGAACCGAGGCUCGGCGCGCCCCCCGCCCGCGCCCCUCAUGGGCAGCCGGGCCCAGCCCGCCGCCCGGGCCCCUCUGGGAAGGGCUUGGAGGCGACGCGGGGAGGGGGUCGGGGGAGGAGGGAGCGUUCCUGCAAAUCACAUGAUUUUCCCGCUUAUAUAAAUCACAGCUUGUUUUUCUCAACCGGCUGCAGACUUAAA